CUGAUCCAGCAUGCCGCGUGUGUGAGAGGCCUUCGGGUUGUAAAGCACUUUUGUCCGGAAAGAAAUCCUUGGCUCUAAUACAGUCGGGGGAUGACGGUACCGGAAGAAUAAGCACCGGCUAACUACGUGCCAGCAGCCGCGGUAAUACGUAGGGUGCGAGCGUUAAUCGGAAUUACUGGGCGUAAAGCGUGCGCAGGCGGUUUGCUAAGACCGAUGUGAAAUCCCCGGGCUCAACCUGGGAACUGCAUUGGUGACUGGCAGGCUAGAGUAUGGCAGAGGGGGGUAGAAUUCCACGUGUAGCAGUGAAAUGCGUAGAGAUGUGGAGGAAUACCGAUGGCGAAGGCAGCCCCCUGGGCCAAUACUGACGCUCAUGCACCAAAGCGUGGGGAGCAAACACGAUUAGGCACCCCCGUAG
Molecule: ribosomal RNA, 415 nt
Filed under: uncultured bacterium
Lineage: Bacteria
Description: bacterial SSU rRNA
Rfam family: Bacterial small subunit ribosomal RNA
Source: RNAcentral